GAAGCCAUGCAUGCCCGCUCACCCGGGACGCGGCGGACGGCUCAGGACGACGGUUGCACCCCCCGCGGCGGUCCCUGCUAGCCGGACACCGCUGGCAACCCGGCGCCAAGACGUGCGCGCAAGGGCGGGCGCCCGCGGGC
Molecule: ribosomal RNA, 140 nt
Filed under: Giardia duodenalis
Lineage: Eukaryota; Fornicata; Diplomonadida; Hexamitidae
Description: Giardia intestinalis partial 16S ribosomal RNA
Source: RNAcentral